This 29-nucleotide non-coding RNA is filed under the name Rattus norvegicus (Norway rat). The record is from RNAcentral. Lineage: Eukaryota; Metazoa; Chordata; Mammalia; Rodentia; Muridae.
UCCCCCCGUGCUUGAUUGGAAAUUUCUCU